CUUUGAUGUAAUUUGCAAUUGUUUUGGGGCACCGCUAACCACACCCAUAUAAGAUGCCUAACUUAACUGAUAAAUGUGGUGUGUGUUCUGACUCUUCCACCAACCAACCAUUCCCCCAUUUCUCUCUCCUCAGGCCUCCCUAUUCCCUGAGACACACAGUGUUGAAAUGAAACCAGUUAAUAACACUACAGUGGCCUCUCAGUGUUCACGUGAAAGGAAGAGUCUCACAUCUCUCUCUUUAAAUUAAAAGCUAGAAAUGAUUAAGCUUAGUGAGGAAGACAUGUUGAAAGCUGAGAUAGGUUGAAAGCUAGGCCUCUUGUACCAAACAGCCAGUUGUGAAUGCAAAGGAAAAGUUCUUGAAGGAAGUAAAACCACUCCACUGAACACAUGAGUGAUAAGAAACCAAAACAGCUUUAUUGCUGAUACGGAGAAAGUUUGAGUGAUCUGGAAAGAAGAUCAAACCAGCCACAACAUGCCUUUAAGCCACAGCCUAAUCCACAGCAGGGUCCUAACUUUCUUCAAUUCUGUGACGGCUGAGAGAGAUGAGGAAGCUGCAGAAGAAAAGUUAGAAGCUAGCAGAGGUUGCUUCAUGAGGUUUAAGGAAAGAAGCUGUCUCCACAACAUAACAGUGCAAAGUGAAGCAGCAAAUGUUAGUGUAGACACUGCAGCAAGUUAUUCAGAAAACCUAGCUAAGAUAGUGGAUGAAGGUGGCUAUACUAAACAACAUAUUUUUAAUGUAGAUGAAACACUUUAUAUUGGAAGAAGAUACCAUCUUGGACUUCCAUAACUAGAGAGAAGUCAGUGCCUGGCUUCAAAGGACAGUCUGCCUUUCUUGAUAGGAGCUAAUGGAGCUGGUGACUUGAAGUUGAAGCCAAUGCUCAUUUACUAAGCUGAAAAUCCUAGAGUCCUUAAGGAUCAUGCUGGCUGGGCAUGCUGUAAUCCUAGCACAUUGAGAGGCCAAGUCAGGAGGAUUGCUGAGCCCAGGAGUUUGAGACUAGCCUGGGCAACAUGGAAAAACCCUGUCUCUACAAAAAAAUACAAAAAUUAGCUGGGUGUGGUGGUACACACCUGUGGUCCCAGCUACUAGGGAGGCUAAGGUGGGUAGAUUGCUUGAGCCUGGGAAGCAGAGGUUGCAGUGAGCCAAGAUUGUGCCACUGCACUCCAGCCUGGGUAACAGAGAAAGACCCUGUCUCAAACAAACACACAAACAAACAAAAAGAAUCAUGCUAAAUCUACUCUGCCUGUGCUCUAGAAAUGGAACAACAAAGCCUGGACGAUAGCACAUUUAUUUACAGCAUGGUUUACUGAAUAUUUUAAGCCCACUGUUGAGACCUACUGCUCAGAAGAAAAAAAGAUUCCUUUCGAAAUAUUACUGCUCAUUGACAAUGCACCGAGUCACUGAAGAGCUCUGAGGGAGAUGUGCAAAAAGGUUAAUAUUGUUUUCAUGCCUGCUAACACAGCUAACCAUUCCACAGCCCACAGAUCAAGGAGUAAUUUCAACUUUCAAGUCUUAUUAUUUAAGAAAUACAUUUUGUAAGGGUAUAGCUGCCAUAGAUAGUGAUUCCUCUGAUGGAUCUGAGCAAAGUACAUUGAAAACCUUCUGGAGAGGAUUCACAUUCUAGAUGCAAUUAAGAACAUUUGUGAUUCAUGGGAGGAGAUCAAAAUAUCAACAUGAACAGGAGUUUGGAAGAAGUUGAUUCCCAUCCUCAUGGAUGACUUUCACAGGUUCAAGACUUCAGUGGAGGAAAUAACUGUAGAUAUAGUGGAAAUAGCAAGAGAACUAGAAUUAGAAGUGUAGCCUGAAGAUGUGACAGAAUUGCUGCAUUCUUAUGAUAAAAUUUGAAUGGAUGAGAAGUUGCUUCUUAUGGAUGAGUAAAGAAAGUGGUUUCUUAGGAUGAAAUCUACUCCUGGGGAAGAUGCUGUGAAAUUGUUGAAAUAACAGCAAAGAAUUUAGAAUGUCACAUAAACUUGACUGAUAAAGCAGUGGCAGAGUUUGAGAGGAUUGACUCCAACUUUGAGAGUUCUGUGGGUAAAAUGCUAUUAAACAGCAUCACAUACCACAGAGAAAUAGUUCAUGAAAGGAAGAAUCAACUGAUGCAGCAAACUUCAGUGUUGUCAUGUUUUAAGAAAUUGCCACAGCCACCUGAGCCUUCAGCAGUUAUCACCCUAAUCAGCCAUGAGUCAGCAGACAUUAAGCCAUUCACUCAGUAAAUAUGUUCCAGUUUGGAGCUGAUCUCAACAAUGAUGUGUUAUGCCUUAGCAUCAGCCUGAAGCAUACGCACUGCUGCAGUGAGCCAGUCUUCUGAGCUGUUUCACCCAGGAAUGCAUUCAGACCAACUGCAGAAGAAUGAAAGAAGUGUCAAAUAGUUAAAGAAUCUAGCCCACACAGAAAGGGAGCUUCUGGUCAGGAGUUCUUCAGAGAGGAUAUGGUGGGUAUUUACUUGGGCCUCAAGGGUCCAGCUUCAGGUUCUUUGCCAUCAGUGGUGGAGACCAGUGAUACACAGCAAGGAACACGUCUUGGAACUACUGAUCCUGACCAUCCUGCCCAAGAACUCCAGGCCUGGGUAUAGGAGCAUCCCAGAGUAUAGGAAAGAGGCUGUCUGUACUGAAGAACUUGGAGAGGAAGCUGAAUGAUCUGAGAGGAAAGGUAAAAUGAAGAAAUGUCUUAUCAGAUAGCAGAUAUUAUCUCCAGAGAGAGAUAAGAGAGUUGAGAUAACUUCUCUAGCGUAGUUAGAGAAAAUGGCUAACAUGUUAUUGGCCAGAGUUAUUUAUUUUUGUUCUAGUUUGGUGAGUUUUUUUUAACUUGUAGGCCCUGUGUAUUUUCCCCUCUUUGUCUGUGUAUCCCUGCCCUUGCAGAUGACAGAAAACUGCUUUCUGCCCUCCCAUCGUGUGUUCCACAGUAAUAAUGGGAUUUUAAGCUCUAACUUUCAGCAAAUGUCACCCUCAUUAAACUCCAUCUAAUUGUGCCCAGUUCCCCACCCUCCUACAGGGGACAAGAAGUGUCCCAACGCAAAUAGUGUAUCUGGCAGCCUCAUAGGACUCAACUGGAGUCCGGCUCCAGCCAGUAAAGGGUCAACUCAGCUCUGAAUGUUGGGAGUUUCACACUGUUAAGGAGAACGCUGAGGAGGAGAUAGCAAAGAAGAAGUUAGGAAAUGUUGGUGUCUUUUUGCAUUUUUCCAAAUGAACCUUGUCACUAAAAUCUCUGCAUACCUUUCAUUUAAUCUCUAUUGCCUAUUCCACUUUUAACCUGUUCCUCUAAGCAUACCACUUUAGCCUGGAUUAUGAUUCUUUUCUUUCUUCACUUCUUUGCCUUAAAAUUGUUUUUUUUAAAAAAUCCUGCUACUCAUGUUACCUUGCAUGGUUCAGUUUCUCCCUUCUAAUACUGCCAACUUCCUUAACCCAGACCUCUUAUCGCAAAGACAGGAGAAUGUUUUUCUAUAUUGAAGCCAAUAGAAAACUACUAAAAGGCUACAUGCAAUUAGUAAAUUUUUAAAUGUACAUUUUUUAAAUGAGUGUAGGAAACAUAAAACUUUAGUAGGUGCAUGCUUACUGGGAAAGCACGCAUGCAUGCUAAAAUGUCAUUGUACAGUACAUAUUGUUUACCACUUGUUUUUUAGUUUAAUAUUACAUUAUGGAUAUCUUUUCAAGUUACAUAUAAUACCUAUAUGUAGCUGACAUACAUUUCACUGCAAGGGUAUUGAAUUAUUUUGUAACUGGCCUUAGAGGGUUUUUACAUUGCUGCUUUUUUCUUUUUUUAAAUACUACCAACUAAAAGCCAUAAACUCUUUUCUUUUUCUUUUUUUCUUCACUCUGUACUAUGAAAAAAGUUUAAGCAUAUAUAAAAGUACAAUUGUACUACUUCUAAUAAAUCCCCACAAACCUGUCACCCAGCUUCAACAUUAUCAGAUUAUGGCCAAACUUGUUUCACUUACAACUCUACUCAUAUCCCAUGCUUUUAUAUAUAUAUAAUUUUAAAGCAUAUCUGAGCUAGCAUAGUCUUUCAAAUGUAAAUAUUUCAAUAUUUGCUGUAAAAGAUAUGAAUUUUAAAAAUGUAAACAUAAUACUAUUUUCAUACCUAAACAAUUAACAGUAAUUCCUUAAUAUCAAUUUUCCAGUUUUCUCAAAGAUGUCAUAAACUUUUUUUUGUUCAUUUUGUUUUUUAACUUAUUUGAAUCAAGAUCCAAGGAAGAAAACACAUUGUGAUGGGUUGAUAUGUCUCCUAAGUUUCUUUUAAUAUAUGGGUACCCUCUCCUGUUUUCUCUUCCAACUCACUUGUUAAAGAAAAUGAAGUUGUUUGUCCUGUAGAGUUGCACACAGCAUGGGUUUUGCUGUCUGCAUCAUGUGCUAUAGUCUAAGAUGUUCUGUUGUCCUCUGUAUUUUCUGUAAAUUGUAGUAAUGUACAGGCUUGAUCAAAAUCAAGUUUUAAGUUUUUUUGACCAGAUAAAUUUAAUGAUUUUGGCAAGAUGGUGUGUUCUAUUUGAAGCCUAUUAUUUUCUGUUUGUCUCUUUUUCUGUGGUGUUAGCAGCUAUUGAUCCUCAAUACCUAUAGCCAGUAAUCCAUUACGGGUCCCAAAAUGGUGACAUUCUAAUUGCAUCCUUCUUUCUUCAUUUAAUAAAGCUGGAAUAGUUAUAUAAAGAGACAUUUCCCCUGAUUUUUUGUUUAGUUAUUCAAUGGUUUGUUUAGGAAAGGCAAGAUAAUUGCUUAAGUCACUCCCCAC
This 4717-nucleotide long non-coding RNA is filed under the name Homo sapiens (human). The stretch from base 1861 to 1926 matches the Rfam family "mir-1255 microRNA precursor family". The record is from RNAcentral. Lineage: Eukaryota; Metazoa; Chordata; Mammalia; Primates; Hominidae.